RNAcentral lists this ribosomal RNA (435 nucleotides) under uncultured bacterium. RNAcentral describes it as "partial 16S ribosomal RNA". It matches the Rfam family "Bacterial small subunit ribosomal RNA", at positions 29 to 507 of the family's 1533-position model. The record is from RNAcentral.
AGCGAACGCUGGCGGCAGGCCUAACACAUGCAAGUCGAGCGGGCGUAGCAAUACGUCAGCGGCAGACGGGUGAGUAACGCGUGGGAACGUACCUUUUGGUUCGGAACAACACAGGGAAACUUGUGCUAAUACCGGAUAAGCCCUUACGGGGAAAGAUUUAUCGCCGAAAGAUCGGCCCGCGUCUGAUUAGCUAGUUGGUGAGGUAACGGCUCACCAAGGCGACGAUCAGUAGCUGGUCUGAGAGGAUGAUCAGCCACAUUGGGACUGAGACACGGCCCAAACUCCUACGGGAGGCAGCAGUGGGGAAUAUUGGACAAUGGGGGCAACCCUGAUCCAGCCAUGCCGCGUGAGUGAUGAAGGCCCUAGGGUUGUAAAGCUCUUUUGUGCGGGAAGAUAAUGACGGUACCGCAAGAAUAAGCCCCGGCUAACUUCGUG